GGGUAUGCUGCCAAGUUGUUCCUGGAAAUAGCCCCACCGUAUAGACCGUACCCGAAACCGACACAGGUGGACUGGUUGAGAAUACCAAGGCGCUUGAGAGAACUAUGCUGAAGGAACUCGGCAAUUUGCCUCCGUAACUUCGGGAUAAGGAGGCCUGACUCUUACGCAAGUGGGAGUCAGGGGCACAGACCAGGGGGUGGCGACUGUUUACUAAAAACAUAGGUCUCUGCGAAGUCGCAAGACGACGUAUAGGGUCUGACGCCUGCCCGGUGCCGGAAGGUUAAAAGGAGGGGU
Molecule: ribosomal RNA, 294 nt
Filed under: Oxyrrhis marina
Lineage: Eukaryota; Dinophyceae; Oxyrrhinales; Oxyrrhinaceae
Description: partial Bacterial large subunit ribosomal RNA
Rfam family: Bacterial large subunit ribosomal RNA
Source: RNAcentral